Molecule: ribosomal RNA, 484 nt
Filed under: uncultured bacterium
Lineage: Bacteria
Description: partial 16S ribosomal RNA
Rfam family: Bacterial small subunit ribosomal RNA
Source: RNAcentral
AUUGAACGCUGGCGGCAGGCCUAACACAUGCAAGUCGAGCGGAUGAAGGGAGCUUGCUCCUGGAUUCAGCGGCGGACGGGUGAGUAAUGCCUAGGAAUCUGCCUGGUAGUGGGGGAUAACGUCCGGAAACGGGCGCUAAUACCGCAUACGUCCUGAGGGAGAAAGUGGGGGAUCUUCGGACCUCACGCUAUCAGAUGAGCCUAAGUCGGAUUAGCUAGUUGGUGGGGUAAAGGCCUACCAAGGCGACGAUCCGUAACUGGUCUGAGAGGAUGAUCAGUCACACUGGAACUGAGACACGGUCCGGACUCCUACGGGAGGCAGCAGUGGGGAAUAUUGGACAAUGGGCGAAAGCCUGAUCCAGCCAUGCCGCGUGUGUGAAGAAGGUCUUCGGAUUGUAAAGCACUUUAAGUUGGGAGGAAGGGCAGUAAGUUAAUACCUUGCUGUCUUGACGUUACCAACAGAAUAAGCACCGGCUAACUUCGUG